This 528-nucleotide ribosomal RNA is filed under the name uncultured bacterium. RNAcentral describes it as "bacterial SSU rRNA". It matches the Rfam family "Bacterial small subunit ribosomal RNA", at positions 777 to 1304 of the family's 1533-position model. The record is from RNAcentral.
AAUAGAUACCCCGGUAGUCCAUGCCGUAAACGUUGGGCGCUAGAUGUGGGGACCAUUCCACGGUUUCCGUGUCGCAGCUAACGCAUUAAGCGCCCCGCCUGGGGAGUACGGCCGCAAGGCUAAAACUCAAAGGAAUUGACGGGGGCCCGCACAAGCGGCGGAGCAUGCGGAUUAAUUCGAUGCAACGCGAAGAACCUUACCAAGGCUUGACAUAUACGAGAACGCUCUAGAAAUAGAGAACUCUUUGGACACUCGUAUACAGGUGGUGCAUGGUUGUCGUCAGCUCGUGUCGUGAGAUGUUGGGUUAAGUCCCGCAACGAGCGCAACCCUCGUUCUAUGUUGCCAGCGGUUCGGCCGGGAACUCAUAGGAGACUGCCGGGGUCAACUCGGAGGAAGGUGGGGAUGACGUCAAAUCAUCAUGCCCCUUAUGUCUUGGGCUUCACGCAUGCUACAAUGGCCGGUACAAAGGGCUGCAAUACCGUAAGGUGGAGCGAAUCCCAAAAAGCCGGUCUCAGUUCGGAUUGAGGU